AGUCGAGGGGUAAAUGGUAGCAAUACUAUGAGACCGGCGGACGGGUGCGUAACGCGUAUGCAACAUACCUUGUGCAGGGGGAUAGCCCGUGGAAACGCGGAUUAAUAUUCCAUAGUCCAGCUAUAUCGCAUGGUAUAGUCGGUAAAGAUUUAUCGGCACAAGUUUGGCAUGCGUCUGAUUAGCUUGUUGGUAGGGUAACGGCCUACCAAGGCUACGAUCAGUAGGGGUUCUGAGAGGAUUAACCCCCACACUGGUACUGAGACACGGACCAGACUCCUACGGGAGGCAGCAGUGAGGAAUAUUGGUCAAUGGGCGGAAGCCUGAACCAGCCAUCCCGCGUGAAGGAAGACAGCCUUACGGGUUGUAAACUUCUUUUCUGUCAGAAGAAUAAGCUUGUCGAGACGAGUGAUGCCGGUAUGACAGGAAUAAGCAUCGGCUAACUCCGUGCCAGCAGCCGCGGUAAUACAGAGGAUGCAAGCGUUAUCCGGAUUUAUUGGGUUUAAAGGGUGCGCAGGUUGUUUGAUAAGUCAGUGGUGAAAGUCUGUCGCUUAACGGUAGGAUUGCCAUUGAUACUGUUGGACUUGAAUAUGGAUGAGGUAGGCGGAAUGUGUAGUGUAGCGGUGAAAUGCAUAGAUAUUACACAGAACACCGAUUGCGAAGGCAGCUUACUAAUC
RNAcentral lists this ribosomal RNA (674 nucleotides) under uncultured bacterium. Its description in RNAcentral is "bacterial SSU rRNA". It matches the Rfam family "Bacterial small subunit ribosomal RNA", at positions 60 to 734 of the family's 1533-position model. The record is from RNAcentral.